RNAcentral lists this ribosomal RNA (400 nucleotides) under uncultured archaeon. RNAcentral's name for it is "bacterial SSU rRNA". It matches the Rfam family "Archaeal small subunit ribosomal RNA", at positions 1 to 377 of the family's 1478-position model. The record is from RNAcentral.
UUCUGGUUGAUCCUGCCGGACCCUACUGCUAUCGGGNGUGGGACUAAGACAUGCGAGUCGAGCGUCUCUAGCUAUGUUGAGACGCGGCAGACGGCUCAGUAACACGUGGCUAACCUACCCUCAGGACAGGGACAAACCCGGGAAACUGGGGCUAAUACCAGAUAGGCGAAGAUGCCUGGAAUGGUUUUUCGCUCAAAGGACCUUGGAAACAUGCUUUCAAGUCGCCUGAGGAUGGGGCCGCGUCCGAUCAGGUUGUUGGUGAGGUAACGGCUCACCAAGCCUAUAACCGGUACGGGCCGUGAGAGCGGUAGCCCGGAGAUGGGUACUGAGACAAGGACCCAGGCCCUACGGGGCGCAGCAGUCGCGAAAACUCCGCAAUGCACGAAAGUGUGACGGGGCU